RNAcentral lists this long non-coding RNA (243 nucleotides) under Physcomitrium patens. Its description in RNAcentral is "long non-coding RNA (PPAT_LNC001424)". The record is from RNAcentral. Lineage: Eukaryota; Viridiplantae; Streptophyta; Bryopsida; Funariales; Funariaceae.
UAGGAUUUGGUCUAGGAUUUGGUUAAGAUUAGGAUCUACUCAGAGUUUGGUUUAGAACUUGACUAGGGAUUAAUUAAAGUUUGUCUAAAAAUUACCUAGGAUUUAGGAUUUUAUUAGGAUUUUAUUAGGAUUUGACACAGAGUUUGAUUAAGGUUCAAUUAGGAUUUCAAUUAGGAUUUCAAUUAAGAUUUGAUCUAAGAGUUGGUUAAGAUUCAAUUAUGGUUUUUAUUUUUAGUAUUUCUU